This 70-nucleotide transfer RNA is filed under the name Dipodomys ordii (Ord's kangaroo rat). It matches the Rfam family "tRNA". From Rfam's summary of the family: Transfer RNA (tRNA) molecules are approximately 80 nucleotides in length. Their secondary structure includes four short double-helical elements and three loops (D, anti-codon, and T loops). Lineage: Eukaryota; Metazoa; Chordata; Mammalia; Rodentia; Heteromyidae. The record is from Rfam by way of RNAcentral.
GGGAAGGUGGCUUAAUGGUAGAGUGCUUGCCUAGCAUGCAUGAAGCCCCAGGUUCAAUUCCUCAGUACCA